GACUCGAUCAUCUUGAGGGUCUUUACCAAUAUAAAUGAUGCUAUUGUUCUUAGCCUAAGACAUGGCAUUGUUUUCCAACACAGGGAACAUUAACAUAUGCAGCAACUCUGGCUAAAAUGGAACAUAAACACUAUCAAGGCUUCUGUGCAAAACCUCACUUACAGGCCACAGCACCAAGAAGGGAAGGAGGAAGAGAUAACAAACAGUUGUACUGUACUCACUCCUUCCUCACAAUGAAAUGCCUGCUCUACAUGCUGUUAUCAAACAAAAAGGAAAAAAAAAAAAAAGAACAACUCAAGAAACUCUGGUAUAAAAAAAAAAAAGCCAAAAAAUAACCCUCUACACUGUAACACACUAACUCUUACCUGCAAUUUAAUUCUACAAUUGUAACUUAGAGCAAAAGACAGGGAACUCUGCAACCCAUUCAGAAGUUUAAUAAGCCUGAGCCCUUUACACUGAAGCAGAAUACAGGUGGAUACUUACUCAAGUGUCCCCUAAUGCCAGUGGAAAGACUGAAACUUUCAUCUUUUGCACUGACCCCACAGUCAUUCUGGGAUGGACCCUAAAGAUAAGCCCAAUUACUUGGAACCCGACCAGCCCAUUGCCAGAUCUGCUGAUUGACCACUAUUCAGCACAGGUCACUGUAGCACAAAACUAUAGAUCUAAGCAAUGUUUAUUUAGUCCAACUUCUUUCUUGCCAAGACCAGAGAUAAGAAAUAGAGAAAAAACACACUGGUGUGCCCUGUUUUGUGGUCCACCCCUAAAAGAUCUGUCCAUGAUCUUCAACAGGCUAACACUCCUGCGUCCAGGAUUGCCAUGGCCUAACCCACAGAGAGCGACCCAGCGGGACUGCCAGGCUGGGCUGGCACAAGCACACACUCACCUGCUCGGGUUGCCCACUCCUGUGUGGCAGCAGCAGCUUGGGGAGUCCGGCAGGGCCACUGGCAGGCACUUCAUGUGACACGGUGUCAGGGUGCAGCACAGACUCACCUUCCCACCUCCCCGCGGGUUACCUGCCAACAGGCUGGAAUAAGCUCUUGGCGAGAUGAGGGAAGGCUGCACAGAGCCCUCGGCAGUCAGGGCUUACAUAACCCUGCCAGCACAGGUUGGGUGCAGCCCAGCUGGUGGAGUCUCACAUGAAAUCUACUGUCUGCAAUGUACAGAGUAUAUGGAAAAGAAAAUCAACAUAACAGAAACCAAACUAAGCAAGUACAUAAAGACUUGCAAACUAGAAACUAAAAUUGUAGGGGGGGGAGUGGUGCAGGGAGACAACUCCUUUCAUCCUUUCAUAGCACUGCUGAUAAAACAUGUAGAAAGAGAAUUUAAAUGAAUUAGUCUUUUGUACAGAAAUUAAUUGUGCAGAAAAUAGCACUAAAAACAGACAAAAAAUUUAUUAGUAAAACCCAUUGAUUUCCCAGGUCUUUGAAAUACAUGGGAGGGAUUCAUUUGAAGUCUGACUAUUUGAAAUUAAAUUUACCAUUUCAAAACUUUAGUCUGGCCAGGCUAUUUUAUUUCUUUCUUUGAGGUUCAUGCAAAUUACAUCAAUUUCCCUCAGAAUUGCUCUUCCAAGAUAAAAUCAAUUUCCAGUAAGUAUGUAUUUCUGAGUCAACAGAGAUGCAACAAAGUCUUUAUUAGCCCUUUAACUAACAGAAAAAAAUUACAUCUAACUUGGUUAUUUCUCUAAACAUUAGUUUGACUCCUUUUUUUGGUGAAAAUAAAAAAAAAAUUCUAGAUAAAGCAAGCUAUAGUCCAAGAAGUAAGAAACAAGCAAAACAGGCUGAAAUCACUAAAGAAAUCCGUCUUCACUUCCAUCAAGAAAUAUUGCAUAUUUAGGCAGAUAUGCAUUGCUAAGAAGACAGCCUACAAUAAAAUUACCCUGUCAUUUUCAAGGAAGAGAAAUUUUAAAUGUGCUCCCAUACAAGGGCAACAGAACGUUUUCUGGUUCAUAUUGCCUAUCACAGUUUUCUUUCACUAUCCCCACUUACUUAGUAGUUGGGCCUUAAAAGCAGAAACAACUUGGGUUACCUCUAACAAGGUAAUCAAAUUUAGUUGCAUCACUUUAUAUGCACUACUCAAAAGUACUGAGUAAUAAAGGGCUAAGCAUGUUAAGGUCAUUUUUCAAUGUAACUGGGCAGAAGAUAAGCAGAUGGUAUUAUUCUCCAAGGACCUACUUGAAAAUACAUAAAUCCUGCACUGCACUUUGAAAUAUACUUUAUACUGACUGGAGUUUCCAGUUUUUCAGGACAAUCUCUAAGACACUUGAGAUUUACCCUGAAUCAGUAUUAAGAAAACACUGCAUUACAGUAAUUACAUUUCUCACUAAUAGAAGACACAGAUGUAGAAAUAUAAUACCCACAUAAAGUGUCAGGAAAGCAGCAUCAUAAAGACUGUCUCCUUAGUUUUAAAAAUGCUGAAGAACUAUCCCCUGAAAGUGUUGUUGCAACUUCUCUGUCUCUGUCCACUUUAAAUAUCCUGAAGUGGCUGCAGCUUUGAGAACUUAUUGAGCUUUUAGAGAAAAAAAAUCUAGAUAGAAAGACAGGUAAAUAUCUGCAUUUCUCAUCUCACUGACCAUUAGACUGGAAAUAUCUAGAAUACACCUGAAAACAACACAGAAAACAGUCCCAGACAUAUUUCUCUAGUAAUGUAAGAGUGUGCCACCUUCUCAAACUGAAGGGGUCCCCUUCCCAUGCAGACCACAUGCCCUUCUCACCAGCUUCCACCUCUGGAACGUUAUUUGGGUACCACAUGCUGAAAAACCUUGCAGUGCACUGCUUCCAGGUUUGCCAUCCAUAUAACCUCCUCAAGCUUUGCAAGCACAGAGCUACAGAGCAGGAGAAUAAGCACAAGCUCCCCAGCGUUGCUAAAGCUUUGAUUACUGCUGAAGCUCUGGAAACUGGCUAAUGCAUAGCAGAUCUUCAAGAUGAAGCAAGGAGCUUAGCAGGAAGAAAUCUGAUCUUAUUUGACAUCCUACAGGUCACAAGUCAUUAAUCUCUGUAUAUCAAAGACAUCUUUCACUAAGAUUCCUCUUCCACUGGACUGAGAACAGAAUAGGUAUUUUUGAAACUUGGAUCUAGAGAAACAGUACAAAGGCAGCAAGAAACACUCAAGACAGCCUACUGCAGAUUGAAAUGUUCUAUCAGCUUUAUCAGUCUGGUGCAUAUCCUAAGUGAGGAAUAUUAACCCAAUCAAGAUAAAGCACAACCCUAGAUUUUAGUCUUCUUUUGCAACUUCGACUUCAGUAUUGCAGCUUUAUGCUUCACGUGCAUCCUAGGUUUCCUUUACAAGCCUUUUUUUUGCUGGCUUUUUUUUUUUUUUUUCUUUUUCCUUUUUAACUGACCUGGAUUUAGAACACUGAAAAAUUCAUAAUGCUCUCUCAAAUUGAAUUUCCAAGUGCAGCAGUGUGUGCUGAGGAACCUGCCAGCACAUUUAGGCAACUGACCUCUCCUGCUGAGAGGAUCAGCAGAGCACACAGUAUUUGACGGCAGGCGCAGACCAAUACCCUGGGAAACUGCAGAAGAGGAACACUUGCAGAGCUCCAAGGAAUACAGACCUUGCUACUGAUCCACUGAAAGAGUUGUAUGAGAAAGCUGCUACAUCUCAAAUCCCUAAAACACAUGCUACUUUUCAUAUCACAUUUAAACAGCAAAAACUAUCCUAAAUUGAAUGAAUAUUAAUGUUAAUAUAUUUUGCUAGCAUUUAAUUUCAUUAGCUAAUAUUAUAGACAUUUGUUGAGUA
Molecule: long non-coding RNA, 3735 nt
Filed under: Taeniopygia guttata (zebra finch)
Lineage: Eukaryota; Metazoa; Chordata; Aves; Passeriformes; Estrildidae
Description: lncRNA (ENSTGUG00000023049.1)
Source: RNAcentral